UGACAAAUUUCACUAUUAUUGCCUUUGGAAUAAUAGGAAUAUUGUUGGGAAUUCCUGUAUAUUUCGGAUGCCAACGAUUGAGUGCAAGCAAAAAUUGUUUUUCAAGGACUAACAAACACAUUAGUGAUACUCUUCAAAAGUGUAUGAUGGUCAUUUCUCCAGAUUAGUUCAAAAUUAGAC
This is a long non-coding RNA of Gordionus sp. m RMFG-2023, 180 nucleotides long. RefSeq lists it as uncharacterized. The transcript is spliced from 3 exons. The record is from RefSeq and is a predicted model, not a curated record. Lineage: Eukaryota; Metazoa; Nematomorpha; Gordioida; Chordodea; Parachordodidae.